RNAcentral lists this ribosomal RNA (429 nucleotides) under Chloroflexota bacterium. RNAcentral's name for it is "Chloroflexi bacterium partial 16S ribosomal RNA". It matches the Rfam family "Bacterial small subunit ribosomal RNA", at positions 355 to 776 of the family's 1533-position model. Lineage: Bacteria; Bacillati; Chloroflexota. The record is from RNAcentral.
UGGGGAAUAUUGCACAAUGGGCGCAAGCCUGAUGCAGCCAUGCCGCGUGUAUGAAGAAGGCCUUCGGGUUGUAAAGUACUUUCAGCGGGGAGGAAGGGAGUAAAGUUAAUACCUUUGCUCAUUGACGUUACCCGCAGAAGAAGCACCGGCUAACUCCGUGCCAGCAGCCGCGGUAAUACGGAGGGUGCAAGCGUUAAUCGGAAUUACUGGGCGUAAAGCGCACGCAGGCGGUUUGUUAAGUCAGAUGUGAAAUCCUCGGGCUCAACCUGGGAACUGCAUCUGAUACUGGCAAGCUUGAGUGUCGUAGAGGGGGGUAGAAUUCCAGGUGUAGCGGUGAAAUGCGUAGAGAUCUGGAGGAAUACCGGUGGCGAAGGCGGCCCCCUGGACGAAGACUGACGCUCAGGUGCGAAAGCGUGGGGAGCAAACAGG